RNAcentral lists this ribosomal RNA (465 nucleotides) under uncultured Klebsiella sp. RNAcentral describes it as "bacterial SSU rRNA". It matches the Rfam family "Bacterial small subunit ribosomal RNA", at positions 338 to 795 of the family's 1533-position model. Lineage: Bacteria; Pseudomonadati; Pseudomonadota; Gammaproteobacteria; Enterobacterales; Enterobacteriaceae. The record is from RNAcentral.
CCUACGGGGGGCAGCAGUGGGGAAUAUUGCACAAUGGGCGCAAGCCUGAUGCAGCCAUGCCGCGUGUGUGAAGAAGGCCUUCGGGUUGUAAAGCACUUUCAGCGGGGAGGAAGGCGGUGAGGUUAAUAACCUCAUCGAUUGACGUUACCCGCAGAAGAAGCACCGGCUAACUCCGUGCCAGCAGCUGCGGUAAUACGGAGGGUGCAAGCGUUAAUCGGAAUUACUGGGCGUAAAGCGCACGCAGGCGGUCUGUCAAGUCGGAUGUGAAAUCCCCGGGCUCAACCUGGGAACUGCAUUCGAAACUGGCAGGCUAGAGUCUUGUAGAGGGGGGUAGAAUUCCAGGUGUAGCGGUGAAAUGCGUAGAGAUCUGGAGGAAUACCGGUGGCGAAGGCGGCCCCCUGGACAAAGACUGACGCUCAGGUGCGAAAGCGUGGGGAGCAAACAGGAUUAGAUACCCGAGUAGUC